Molecule: long non-coding RNA, 1119 nt
Filed under: Anas platyrhynchos platyrhynchos (common mallard)
Lineage: Eukaryota; Metazoa; Chordata; Aves; Anseriformes; Anatidae
Description: lncRNA (ENSAPLG00000025889.1)
Source: RNAcentral
AUUAUGCCUUGGUUGCAGGAAGGCUGGCAAGCAGUGCUUGAAGUUAAUUGAGCCUAAUUCUUCCCAGUGUAUAUAUGUAGAUAAUGUUUUACUCUGUAAAAUGCGUAUUAGCCUACUUCUCUAGCGUCUAAGCUUGAUAUCAGUGAUGUUUGGUGUAACUUUGGAAAAAAAGAGGCACUAGAAAAUUUGUUGUGGGAGGAAAAGUGUAAAUGUUUAACACCUUGUUUCACACCCCUGCUUAACAUCUUCUGGUUUUUGUUAUUAAUGAAAACGCUUGCAAGCCUACCUCAUAGGAGAUAACCUGCUCCUGUUUAUAAUUUCAAGAAAAGAAUAACACUGACCUUCACUGUGUGAUCACUUCCAUUACAGUUUGGUAUCACAAACAGCAGGCUUUUGAAAUAAAUGUUGGCACAGGCAUUCAGAAAUUCAUACUCUAUAUGUGAUACAUACAUACAAAGCCUGUGUUUAUUCUUCUUUUUGAAAAGCCUGAAGAUUUAUCUUGAGGAAAUCCUUGGCUGACUGGGAGAACUUCCAAAAUGUUUUGCCAGAGAGAUGUCACCAUGCCACCUGGUUCUAAGGAAGUUCCAAAAAUACCUUCUUCAGGGGGAAUGAAACAAAUAACCCUUUCCUCAGAGCUGCCUACAGUGACAUCUCCUAAUUGCUCAGAAAACUGGGUCAAGAAUCAUGUCUCCACAAUAACCUUUUCUUAUUCUGUACUAAAAAAACCUCACCACCACCAAAAAAAACAUACACAUGCAGUCAUCAUCUAUGGUACUAUGACCCAACAGUAUAGAAAAAUCUUCAGACAAGGUAAGAAGGCAAGAAUGAGGUAUGAAAAAUAGAUGUAGCAAGUGUCAUGGGAUUGGUAUCACUUCUGCCUCUCCAGCUGCAGAAGUACGGCUGCUGCAGGUGGAGAGAAGGCAUGCAUGGAACUCAUACUGUCUCCUGAGAACAUGAAGCAGAUGGAGUCUGCUGUUUCUUCUGUGGUCUUGUGGUUUGAGCAAACUGAUCUAACCAAUGAUAAGUUUGUUCCUAGCAAAACAGUGGGAAUUUUGUGGCCAUGGCUGCAGAACAGGGGGGAAAAAAAAAAAGACAAGAGGUAGUACAAAGCUACAUUAU